This 1612-nucleotide long non-coding RNA is filed under the name Haliotis rufescens (red abalone). RNAcentral's name for it is "uncharacterized LOC124152172". The record is from RNAcentral. Lineage: Eukaryota; Metazoa; Mollusca; Gastropoda; Lepetellida; Haliotidae.
AAAUUGUACAUAAACUUUCCCCGCCACAGUCAGACCCAUAUCAGUCGGGGAGGCUGGGCUGCUGCAGUGUAACAGAAGUGUAUCCAGUAGCUACGCAGAUCCCAGGAGAGCUUGAACGAAUGUUCCGCCCAGCACUCUGGCACUAUCAGGCUCUGAUCUACAUCUCCCCUGCUGAUUGGCUGCUUGCUUCGGGGGUAACUGUCAAUCAUUCACGGUCAGCUGACAGUAGUAUGACGUAAUGACACCUGACAAGGGGCGUUGCUGGGUUACGAAGCAGUUUUAUCUACACGUCCUUAAAGUAUGCAAAUUCUAAUCUAAGGUUAUGAUAAUUUGCUAUAAAAAUUUCCAUCUGCAAUGAAAAAGAUAUUAACUCUCUCAAUAACACGUGCACUAUUUGGUAGGAAGUAAUAGUCAUGUGUGUAUUUCUCACUGCUUUCAAUGCACAGGGAAAGUGUUAAUGCAUGUUAUUGAUAUUCAAGUUUGUCAUUGGAACAUAAAUGUCAGUGAUUGUUGUUUGACGAAUUAGCACCACACACUGCAACAUACGUUACUUUUGUUUUCCUAUUGAAAAGAAGGCAUAGUAAACGGUCAUUAAAUUUUGGUAACAUUUCAACUAUUAAAUGUUAGUUUCAUAGCCAAAACACCUGUAUCCAUGCAUCUUCUGGGUAUGAAACUAAGCAUGUAUUUGGGAAAGUCAAGCUAAGAGAGUUUUGAUGUAUGGAGCAGUCGCAUUAUCAUUGUAAACAUAUUGACAACUUAAAUUAUUUUAAAAAUAAAUUGUGUGAUGUGAAUGGAAUUAUGUCUUACAGCUGAAAGAAAUACGCAGCCGUUAACGGUACAAUCGUGUGUUUUAGCAGAACAAGUAUAUGUGGACUUUAUUUGAUGCUUUUUAUGACAAUUAUAUUUUUUUAAAGCCAAAAAGCAAUGUAUUCCAUCAUCGAUGCGUGUGACACUUGACAUCAAACUAAAAAAAAAAAUAUGUUCUACUCUUUCAUACACACAAGAUGAAACAUUUCUUAUAAUAUCUUCUAUACAUUUAGUCCUGAUAAGUUCACAGUAAAAUGUUGCAUAUUUAUAAGUGUGGCGAGAAUGACCAUUAUCUUGCAUACUUUCAAUUGAAGCUAUAAUUACCAGUAUUUUACAUACAUAUUUUCAUAAUGACAUAUUUAUAGACAUAUCAAAUACAUGUAGUUUCAUAUAAAACUAGAUGUACCAGUAUGCAUUGUUAUUUGCAAUAGUGUACAUGUUAUGUUUGAUAAAGCGAUGCUGUUCCUAGUAUUAUAAAGAAAGGUCUUAUGUAUUUCAAAUGUACCCAACAGACAACACAAGAAAUUGGUCAUAUAUUUCUUGAACUUAAAAUUGUAUUGUGUUAUAUCUGAAUGAUUUUGGUCUUGAAACUUUUAAAGAUCUCCUGCUUAUAACUUCUUUAUCAAUUCACUUUAACUUACCUGAAGAACUUAUGCACUAAAGAUACUGGUCUGAGGUAUGUACUAUACACGUGUCAUAUGUAGACUGUAUAUAUGCAACGGCUAUCAGACACAUAUGAAUUUAUUAUUUCUAUGUAUGAAUUCGUUUCCAUUUGAUGACAUGGUUUAUAAAAUAUAUCCCACAA